GAUUUCAUAGAUGUUUUUAUCUUUAAAAAUUUUUUAAAACAUUUAUGGGGAGUAAUACGCUUUCGUUUUUCAGGAUAACUAGUUUGUUUUUUUUUAAUGGGGAAACCUUUUUUAAGUUUUGUUUUAAUUUUUGGGUUUAUUUUCUUUAAUAGUAAGUAAUUGUGUAAUAACUCUGGGUUUUUAUAAAAAAUUUAUUUUUUUAAAAAUAUAACUUAUUAAUUAAUAGAUUAGUAGAAUUAUUAGUUGUUUUGUGUUUAUUAGUGUUUUUGAAAUUUAAUAUUAAAAAUUAUUUUUGUUUACUGAUUUUUUCUUAGACUGGUUAAUAAAAUCUUAGCUACAAAUUUUGUAGUUAUUUCUGCUCUAUGCUUUUAGUAAAUGGCUGUUUUGCAACACUAAGGUAGCAAAAUCAUUAGUUAUUUAAUUGGUAACUUGUAUGAAUGAAUUUUCUAAGAAAAUAUUAAUUUUCUUUUUGAAUUUAUAAAUUUGUUGAAAAUAACAAUUUUUCCUAUAAGACUAAAAGACCCUAAAAUUUUUAUAAUUUCUGUAUGUAAAGUUAUUUGAUUGGGGCAAUAAUUGAAGAAAAAUAUCUUACUAAUUUAAUUUUCUUUGAACUUUUUUUAUUGAUAAAAGGUAAAAUACUUUAGGGAUAACAGCUUAAUUAUUUUUAAGAGUUCUUAUCAUUAAAAUAGUUUUAGACCUCGAUGUUGGAUUGGAAAAACUUUUUGGGGCAG
This 731-nucleotide ribosomal RNA is filed under the name Analges sturninus. Its description in RNAcentral is "partial large subunit ribosomal RNA". The record is from RNAcentral. Lineage: Eukaryota; Metazoa; Arthropoda; Arachnida; Sarcoptiformes; Analgidae.